AAGUCGUAACAAGGUUUCCGUAGGUGAACCUGCGGAAGGAUCAUUAGUGAAUUUAGCGUUUCUCUUAACAGAGCGCGACCCUCCACUUUCUUAACUCUGUGAACUUUUUUUGGUCAAGUUAAUGAACUCGUUGUUACUUUUAUUAGUCUCGAUAAGUAAAUUUACUUGACGGCUCAUUUUAAACACUAGUACAAGUAUGUAACGAAAUAUCGAAAUAUAAAAAAA
Molecule: unclassified non-coding RNA, 225 nt
Filed under: plant metagenome
Description: partial contains small subunit ribosomal RNA and internal transcribed spacer 1
Rfam family: Eukaryotic small subunit ribosomal RNA (bases 1-46)
Source: RNAcentral